This 506-nucleotide ribosomal RNA is filed under the name uncultured bacterium. Its description in RNAcentral is "partial 16S ribosomal RNA". It matches the Rfam family "Bacterial small subunit ribosomal RNA", at positions 29 to 523 of the family's 1533-position model. The record is from RNAcentral.
AUUGAACGCUGGCGGCAGGCCUAACACAUGCAAGUCGGACGGUAGCACAGAGGAGCUUGCUCCUCGGGUGACGAGUGGCGGACGGGUGAGUAAUGUCUGGGGAUCUGCCCGAUAGAGGGGGAUAACCACUGGAAACGGUGGCUAAUACCGCAUAACAUCGCAAGACCAAAGAGGGGGACCUUCGGGCCUCUCACUAUCGGAUGAACCCAGAUGGGAUUAGCUAGUACGCGGGGUAACGGCCCACCUAGGCGACGAUCCCUAGCUGGUCUGAGAGGAUGAACAGCCACACUGGGACUGGGACACGGUCCAGACUCCUACGGGAGGCAGCAGUGGGGAAUAUUGCACAGUGGGCGCAAGCCUGAUGCAGCCAUGCCGCGUGUAUGAAGAAGGCCUUCGGGUUGUAAAGUACUUUCAGCGGGGAGGAAGGCGAUGUGGUUAAUAACCGCAUUGAUUGACGUUACCCGCAGAAGAAGCACCGGCUAACUCCGUGCCAGCCGCCGCGGUAA